UCCCCAGUUCCACAAAAAAAAAAAAAAAAAAAAUCCAGUCUUGAACUUCUCUGGAAAAAAAAAUUGCAACUCUAGUCUGUGAAUUUGGCCAAGACAAUCUUCUUUAGUAUACAAAUUACCCAAUCACAUACUUCCUACUGAAGCAAACAGGAAGGAGUUCCUUUUUCGUUCUGCAACUCCACUCAUCCUCACCAACUCUGUAACAGCAACCAGGAGAGUUGUUUCAAAAAUACUGCUCCAACUAUCAUCAUUAGAAUACUGAGACUGUUACUAUGAUGACAGAAUAUGAGAA
Molecule: long non-coding RNA, 292 nt
Organism: Octodon degus (degu)
Lineage: Eukaryota; Metazoa; Chordata; Mammalia; Rodentia; Octodontidae
Exons: 2
Source: RefSeq, a predicted model, not a curated record